This 483-nucleotide ribosomal RNA is filed under the name uncultured bacterium. RNAcentral describes it as "bacterial SSU rRNA". It matches the Rfam family "Bacterial small subunit ribosomal RNA", at positions 8 to 518 of the family's 1533-position model. The record is from RNAcentral.
AGAGUUUGAUUCUGGCUCAGGAUGAACGCUGGCGGCGUGCCUAACACAUGCAAGUCAAGCGAUUCUCUUCGGAGAAGAGCGGCGGACGGGUGAGUAACGCGUGGGUAACCUGCCUCAUACACAUGGAUAACAUACCGAAAGGUAUGCUAAUACAGGAUAACAUAAGAGAUUCACAUGGAUUUUUUAUCAAAGCUCCGGCGGUAUGAGAUGGACCCGCGUCUGAUUAGCUAGUUGGUAAGGUAACGGCUUACCAAGGCGACGAUCAGUAGCCGACCUGAGAGGGUGAUCGGCCACAUUGGAACUGAGACACGGUCCAAACUCCUACGGGAGGCAGCAGUGGGGAAUAUUGCACAAUGGGCGAAAGCCUGAUGCAGCAACGCCGCGUGAGUGAUGAAGGCUUUCGGGUCGUAAAACUCUGUCCUCAAGGAAGAUAAUGACGGUACUUGAGGAGGAAGCCCCGGCUAACUACGUGCCAGCCGCCGC